UGCUCGAAAACGAACACUCGUGUGCUAGUCGACUGCUGAAACUGACAGAACGAUAAAACGUAGGCUCAACGGACCUCCCCUUCCCCCCGUCUGCCCACUACGUGUUUUCCGCUCCCAUCUCCAACUGUGUGUGUGUGUGUGUGUGUCUGUGUCUCCAUGCCAAGUUCACUGGGGCAGCUCUCGUCCUUUGCUUUCUUUGUAGUCUCCCGCUCUGCCGUGGCGGUUGUUUCCUUCCUUUUCCCCUUUUCGCUUCCAAACCAUUUCUUCGCUAGCAACCAUGAACCACGAUGAUGCGAUGUGGAACAUCAUGGGCCAGACGUUCUGCUCCUUCAAGGUCAAGACGAACGACGACAAGGUUCGCUUCUGCCGAAACCCGUACAACGUGACUGGUCUCUGCCAGCGUGGUGUGUGCCCGCUCUCCAACGCGCAGUACGCCACCGUCAUCGAGCACGAGGACGAGCUAUACCUGUACGUCAAAACUGCUGAGCGGGCUCACCUGCCGCGGCGGCAGUGGGAGAAGGUGAAGCUCGACGUCUCCUUCCCGAAAGCUCUGGCGCAGAUCGACGAGGAGCUGCAGUGGUGGGACCAGAAGCUGGUGAUCAAGAUCAAGGCCCGUUUGCUGCGACUGAAGCAGUACCUGAUGCGCAAGCGAAAAAUGCUGAUGGAGCCGCAGGACGAGUACGUGUCUGUGAACAAGCGUCAGGAGGACAAGCUGCUGCGGCGAGAGGAGAAGGCGGAGGCGGCGGCCCGCAUUGAGAUGGAGAUUGAGAAGGAGCUUCUCGAUCGUCUGCGCAAGGGUACCUACGAUAGCGUCAUCAACUACAACAAAGAGGCCUUCGAGAAGCUGCUCGACGAGGAGGAGAACCGCGAGGAAUUUGAGGCGCUGGAGCAAGACGAGGACGAAGAGUUCCCCGACUUUGUGAUGGACGAGGAGGACGAAGAGGAGGAGGAGGAUCGGGAAACGGUGCGCGGUGGGCGCAGCAAGAGCAAGAUUCGCAAGCGUGAUAAGCUGGUAAUCGAGGAGGAGGUGGAGCGGGAGCUGGCGCCGCGCCAGCGCGCGCGCUUGGAGGACCUUGAGUGGUAGCAUCGCUUCGCUUCUCGCUCGCGUGUAUCUUCGCGCAAAGGGAGCGCCGAGAGACGGUGAGGGAGAGAGGGAAGGGGGAGGGAGGAUGGCGUAUGCCUAUGUGCGCUUGCUUUUGCGUGACCGCACCUCUGCCCGGCCGUCGUGGUGGCUUUCUAAGAUCCUUCAUAGGCGGGCAGUGUCUCGGUCGCCGGUCUUGCACUCCCAGCGACGCACUCCACGACUCUCUCUCUCUUUCAUCUUUGCUCAUCUCCUCUCGCUGCACUGCAUCGCAAUGACAGACGUGUGUGUGUGUGUGUGUGUGUGUGCAUGUGUGAGGCAGUAGCGGCACAUGCACGUGUGCGCACGGACACCGACAAGUCUGGCCCUGUGUCGAAGAGACGCAUGCUCCAGCUGUCGUGCUACUAUGACGGUGAUUUGUGACGCUGCCGCAGCUAGUGCACAUGACCGGGUGCACAAGCCCACUCUCUCCGUGCUGGCGGCGGGGUGCUCGGCGUUCCCCUCUCUCUGCUUCUCUGUUCAUAUGCGGACACUUUCUUUCGCGUUUUGUUUUGCAUCUUCGGGUGCCAACUCUUUCUCUCCGCGCGGUGUUCGCUCAUGCGACAUGCUCUCACCUUGUCCUCAUCUUUUUCUUUUUCCGUCCCGUUCUGUCGUUCUUGGCGAAGAUGUUGAUGUGUUGGCCACCUGUCUGUCGGUGCUCUAUGGCGUACGCUUAAUCGACAUUAAAGAGUGGAGGACGCAAGCUUCUGGGAGAGAGAGGGAGAGAGACAAGAGCAUAUAUAUAUAUAUAUAUAUAUAUAUGUACAGAAAAAGAAAACGAUGAACUCGGAGCCAAGCGGCUGCAUGCUUGCCUCCGUGUGUGUGCAUGCAUGCGUGCGUGCGUGUGUACACGCUUGUCGUCUCUCUUGCGCUCGGUUUCCUCCGUCCCUCACAUCCUUCUUGUCUUUGCUCUCUUACGUAAUGUGCAUGUAUGGUGCCCUUAGCCGCGUGCUUGU
This 2076-nucleotide unclassified non-coding RNA is filed under the name Leishmania donovani. Its description in RNAcentral is "gene:LdHU3.22.1780(CDS-product:mak-16-like_RNA_bi nding_protein_putative)". Lineage: Eukaryota; Euglenozoa; Kinetoplastea; Trypanosomatida; Trypanosomatidae. The record is from RNAcentral.